RNAcentral lists this ribosomal RNA (1422 nucleotides) under Pseudorinelepis genibarbis. Its description in RNAcentral is "partial 16S ribosomal RNA". It matches the Rfam family "Bacterial large subunit ribosomal RNA", at positions 267 to 2523 of the family's 2925-position model. The record is from RNAcentral. Lineage: Eukaryota; Metazoa; Chordata; Actinopteri; Siluriformes; Loricariidae.
GCCAAAUAACUAGCUUUAAUUCCUAAAACAACCUAACAACAUUAAAAACUUUAUCAACUAAAAAAAAUAACCAAAACAUUCUUCCGCCCUAGUAUGAGUGACAAAAAAGGCUACAUAAAGCAAUAAAAAAGUACCGCAAGGGAAAGUUGAAAGAGAAAUGAAACAAACCAUUUAAGCCAGACAAAGCAGAGAUUAAAUCUCGUACCUCUUGCAUCAUGAUUUAGCCAGUCAUCCUGAGCAAAGAGCACUUUAGUUCACACCCCCGAAACUAGGUGAGCUACCUCGAGACAGCCUAUCAUAGGGCCAACCCGUCUCUGUGGCAAAAGAGUGGGAAGAUCUCCAGGUAGGGGUGACAGACCUACCGAACCUAGUUAUAGCUGGUUGCCUAAGAAAUGGAUAGAAGUUCAGCCUCGCACUCCUCAACUCACCGAAAGACCACUCACUAAUGAAACUAAGAAAUGUGCGAGAGUUAGUCAGAGGGGGUACAGCCCCUCUGAAAUGGGAUACAACCCCACCAGGAGGUUAAAGAUUAUACUAAACAAAACCCUCGCCUUAGUGGGCCUAAAAGCAGCCACCUAAAUAGAAAGCGUUAAAGCUCGAGCAACACACAGUUCAUUAUCCAAAUAGAUAUAUCUUACACCCCUAACCAUAUUAGGCCUUUCUAUGCCAUCAUAGAAGUGAUACUGCUAAAAUGAGUAAUAAGAAGGAUAUGCCCUUCUCCCGGCCCACGUGUAAGCUAGAUCGGACCAACCACUAGUCAUUAACGAACCCACCCAAAGAGGGCCACUGUGACUCACACAAUAACCAAGAAAAAAUCACAACCCGCUACCGUUAACCCCACACUGGAAGGCCAACAAGGAAAGACUAAAAGAUAAAGGAAGGAACUCGGCAAACACAAGCCUCGCCUGUUUACCAAAAAACAUCGCCUCCUGCAAACUUUCAAUACAUAGGAGGUCUUGCCUGCCCAGUGACUACAAGUUAAACGGCCGCGGUAUUUUUGACCGUGCCAAAGGUAGCGCAAUCACUUGUCUUUUUAAAUGAAGACCUGUAUGAAUGGUGAAACGAGGGCUUAACUGUCUCCCUACUCUAGUCAAUGAAAUUGAUCUGCCAGWGCAGAAGCGGGCAUAACGAUACAAGACGAGAAGACCCUUUGGAGCUUAAGACACAAGGCCAACUAUGUUAAAAGUCCCAGAAAAGAGACUAAACCGAAUAGCACUGACCCUAAUCUUCGGUUGGGGCGACCACGGGAGAAAAUAAAGCUCCCAUGCAGACUGGGAAAACCCCUAAAACUAAGAGAGACAUCUCUAAGGCACAGAACAUCUGACUUCAAAGAUCCGGUUAAUACCGACCAACGAACCAAGUUACCCUAGGGAUAACAGCGCAAUCCCCUUUCAGAGUCCAUAUCGACAAGGGGGUUWACGA